GUGGGGAAUUUUGGACAAUGGGGGAAACCCUGAUCCAGCCAUGCCGCGUGUGUGAAGAAGGCCUUCGGGUUGUAAAGCACUUUCGGACGGAACGAAAUCGCAAGGGUGAAUAUCCCUUGUGGAUGACGGUACCGUAAGAAGAAGCACCGGCUAACUACGUGCCAGCAGCCGCGGUAAUACGUAGGGUGCGAGCGUUAAUCGGAAUUACUGGGCGUAAAGCGUGCGCAGGCGGCUUCGCAAGUCAGACGUGAAAUCCCCGGGCUUAACCUGGGAAUGGCGUUUGAAACUACGGAGCUAGAGUGUGGCAGAGGGAGGUAGAAUUCCACGUGUAGCAGUGAAAUGCGUAGAUAUGUGGAGGAAUACCGAUGGCGAAGGCAGCCUCCUGGGCCAACACUGACGCUCAUGCACGAAAGCGUGGGGAGCAAACAGGAUUAGAUACCCUAGUAGUCC
This 450-nucleotide ribosomal RNA is filed under the name uncultured bacterium. RNAcentral's name for it is "bacterial SSU rRNA". It matches the Rfam family "Bacterial small subunit ribosomal RNA", at positions 354 to 796 of the family's 1533-position model. The record is from RNAcentral.